Brienomyrus brachyistius is the source of this 756-nucleotide long non-coding RNA. RefSeq lists it as uncharacterized. NCBI's taxonomy places the organism in Eukaryota, Metazoa, Chordata, Actinopteri, Osteoglossiformes, Mormyridae. The record is from RefSeq and is a predicted model, not a curated record. The transcript has 3 exons.
CAGGUUAGUUAUUUGUAUGUGGUUGUUGUGUACAAGAAAUGUUAUAAAAGUGAGUUGACAUACACAUUUUAUUAGAGCAGCUGCCGAUGUAGCAUUUGUGUUCAUCAAACUUAAAUAUUUAAAAAUUAUUGUAAGUUGGCAUUAUCCUUUUUUCACUGGCGGGGACUUUCCCACGCAGGUGCAGCAUUUUUCUCGGCUGUUGUUCGCUGCAGCGGAUCUGGAUUUCAGGGACUGGUUAACACGGACCCAUCUGCCUCUGUGGAGAAAAGGAGAGAAGUGGUCCUGAGAUGCCUGAUUGAGUAUGUGGGGGAGAGACAGGAAGACCUCAUCAGUGUCCACCACAGUCAUGAUGAAACAGAGGUGCACGCUGAGCUUGGCAGUUGCCCACUGAAAAUUUACAUAUGCCAUCAGCCCGACAUGAUUGGGAUCAUCAUAGAAGGACAGCCUGUGGUCAGAGGUGUGCCAAACCUGUCGAAAGCAUGCUGCCUCCUGUUUGGACUUACCUAUGCCCUCGACCUCAAGUAUCCCUCAAAAAUGGUGUAUACCUUUGUAUAUAUAUAUAUAUAUGUAUGUAUAUAUAUUAUAUCUCUUUGUGGGAUUGGACGCCAUGCGUCCUAAGCCAUCAUCCAAGUAUGCAAAUCUCCUUACCAAGUUGUCUUAGAUUAUUUCUCAGUGGCAUCUGACAUUUAUUGGCUGUUUUGUAGUCCCUGUUAAAAGUGAAACUGGUUGACAUUGAAUAAAUGUUAUUGUUUUCAA